GACGAACGCUUUUGGCGUGCUUAACACAUGCAAGUCGAACGGAAAGGCCCUGCUUUUGUGGGGUGCUCGAGUGGCGAACGGGUGAGUAACACGUGAGUAACCUGCCCUUGACUUUGGGAUAACUUCAGGAAACUGGGGCUAAUACCGGAUAGGAGCUCCUGCUGCAUGGUGGGGGUUGGAAAGUUUCGGCGGUUGGGGAUGGACUCGCGGCUUAUCAGCUUGUUGGUGGGGUAGUGGCUUACCAAGGCUUUGACGGGUAGCCGGCCUGAGAGGGUGACCGGCCACAUUGGGACUGAGAUACGGCCCAGACUCCUACGGGAGGCAGCAGUGGGGAAUAUUGCACAAUGGGCGGAAGCCUGAUGCAGCAACGCCGCGUGCGGGAUGACGGCCUUCGGGUUGUAAACCGCUUUCGCCUGUGACGAAGCGUGAGUGACGGUAAUGGGUAAAGAAGCACCGGCUAACUACGUGCCAGCAGCCGCGGUGAUACGUAGGGUGCGAGCGUUGUCCGGAUUUAUUGGGCGUAAAGGGCUCGUAGGUGGUUGAUCGCGUCGGAAGUGUAAUCUUGGGGCUUAACCCUGAGCGUGCUUUCGAUACGGGUUGACUUGAGGAAGGUAGGGGAGAAUGGAAUUCCUGGUGGAGCGGUGGAAUGCGCAGAUAUCAGGAGGAACACCAGUGGCGAAGGCGGUUCUCUGGGCCUUUCCUGACGCUGAGGAGCGAAAGCGUGGGGAGCGAACAGGCUUAGAUACCCUGGUAGUCCACGCUGUAAACGGUGGGUACUAGGUGUGGGGUCCAUUCCACGGGUUCCGUGCCGUAGCUAACGCUUUAAGUACCCCGCCUGGGGAGUACGGCCGCAAGGCUAAAACUCAAAGGAAUUGACGGGGCCCCGCACAAGCGGCGGAGCAUGCGGAUUAAUUCGAUGCAACGCGUAGAACCUUACCUGGGUUUGACAUGGAUCGGGAGUGCUCAGAGAUGGGUGUGCCUCUUUUGGGGUCGGUUCACAGGUGGUGCAUGGCUGUCGUCAGCUCGUGUCGUGAGAUGUUGGGUUAAGUCCCGCAACGAGCGCAACCCUUGUUCACUGUUGCCAGCACGUUAUGGUGGGGACUCAGUGGAGACCGCCGGGGUCAACUCGGAGGAAGGUGGGGAUGACGUCAAGUCAUCAUGCCCCUUAUGUCCAGGGCUUCACGCAUGCUACAAUGGCUGGUACAGAGAGUGGCGAGCCUGUGAGGGUGAGCGAAUCUCGGAAAGCCGGUCUCAGUUCGGAUUGGGGUCUGCAACUCGACCUCAUGAAGUCGGAGUCGCUAGUAAUCGCAGAUCAGCAACGCUGCGGUGAAUACGUUCCCGGGGCUUGUACACACCGCCCGUCAAGUCAUGAAAGUUGGUAACACCCGAAGCCGGUGGCCUAACCGUUGUGGGGGAGCCGUCGAAGGUGGGACUGGUGAUUAGGACUAAGUC
This 1452-nucleotide ribosomal RNA is filed under the name uncultured organism. RNAcentral's name for it is "16S ribosomal RNA". It matches the Rfam family "Bacterial small subunit ribosomal RNA". The record is from RNAcentral.